UUUCUCCAUCCUAGUAAUCAAAUUUGAGCAAAAUCAAAUGGGGCUUUCUAUGAAAGUACCUUUUGUUGAUCUGAACGAGCUGGUAAUUUACAAAAUACCCUUCCUUUGUGAGGAAGGCUAAAGAAAAAAAGAAUCAGUAGCUUUUAAAGCUGGGCCUUAGUGGGACUCUAAAUGCAAUGAAAGCAGUCUGUGUUGAGAGACUGAAAUGCAUUUCAAAGCCAGGCCUGAUUCGGGGUACAAGGAAGAACAGACCUAUGUGCAUUUUGUAGGAAGAAAACUGUGAAUGGAAAAAGGAGAAGGGGAGAGAAACGGGGGAAAUCUGGAUAAUACAUUAAAGUAACCAUAAUUUUGGAGAUGCAUUCAUCUUAUUGAAAAUAUGUACGUAACCAGUGAUACCGAAGUCGGAUAUUUGCUCAAUCAGGAUGCUCAACAAUUUGAGCCUUUAAAGUUUGGAGCUGCAUGGGUUUGUGGAGAAAGUCGGCUCGUGAUAUUUCCUCAUGGUUGUGAUUCCUCUUCACUCUUUUGAAUUUGGAAGGAUGGCAUACACAUCUGAAAAAUACCACUACUUCCUUCAUUGGACUGCAAGGUAUUUCUGUUUGGAAAAGUAAUGGAGUCCAGUCAACUUCAUUGAUCGCCAAGGACUGUCAAAAUUAUAAAACUUGCUGUGGAGCUCUGACAUGCCAGAAGCCGCUAGAAAAAGAAGUUUGACAUUCAGAAACUUAUCAAGAGGUUCUACUCUUUGGAUAGAGACCAAAAUCAUACUUUGAAGGGAUUGCAGUGGCAAAGCUAGGCUAGGUCUUGGAGGCUGGUGUAAGGCGAUGUGGGUGAAGGCAGGAGGCUGAUGGAAAGACUGGGGGGAAGAAAAGCCGAAAUGGAUUCACGGUGCCUUGGAUGAAGGACGAGAGGGGAACUGCAAGCUCCUUCAACUGGUUCUGUCCGGUGAGAAGUGAUCAAGCUUGGGCUGACAAGAGGCUCAGGGAGCCCUCACGUUCUUUCGCUUUUUUACCUGCCAAUCAAACUGCUACAAGACAACACCCUGAUCUGGCAUGGACAUUCAUUGCAGUCACCUGGAGUCACGGAAAUGACCAUGAUUGCCUGAACUUUCAUGACUUCUGUGGAUAACUGUGGUUGCAGAAAAGAGAAAACCUGGACCGUGAGGGACAUUUCACUCCCUGGGCUUUGCCUUGGUUGUUUACUUGUAUCUAAGACAGAGGUGUCCAAUAUUUUGGCUUCCCUGGGCCACAAUGGAAGAAGAAUAGUCUUGGGCCACACAUAAAAUACACUAAUGCUAACAAUAGCUGAUGAGCUAAAAAAUAAAAAUAAAAAUACGCCGGGCACGGUGGCCCACACCUGGAAUCCCAGCACUUUGGGACGACGAGGCAGGCGGAUCACAA
This 1394-nucleotide long non-coding RNA is filed under the name Homo sapiens (human). Its description in RNAcentral is "PREDICTED lncRNA (TCONS_00189014)". The stretch from base 779 to 1054 matches the Rfam family "SOX2 overlapping transcript exon 3". The record is from RNAcentral. Lineage: Eukaryota; Metazoa; Chordata; Mammalia; Primates; Hominidae.